AUUGAACGCUGGCGGCAUGCCUUACACAUGCAAAUCGAACGGUAACGGGCCUUCGGGUGCCGACGAGUGGCGAACGGGUGAGUAAUACAUCGGAACGUGCCCGAUCGUGGGGGAUAACGAGGCGAAAGCUUUGCUAAUACCGCAUACGAUCUACGGAUGAAAGCAGGGGACCGCAAGGCCUUGCGCGGACGGAGCGGCCGAUGGCAGAUUAGGUAGUUGGUGGGAUAAAAGCCUACCAAGCCGACGAUCUGUAGCUGGUCUGAGAGGAUGAUCAGCCACACUGGGACUGAGACACGGCCCAGACUCCUACGGGAGGCAGCAGUGGGGAAUUUUGGACAAUGGGCGCAAGCCUGAUCCAGCCAUGCCGCGUGCAGGAUGAAGGCCUUCGGGUUGUAAACUGAUUUUGUACGGAACGAAAAGCCUUCUUUUAAUACAGGAGGGUCAUGACGGUACCGUAAGAAUAAGCACCGGCUAACUACGUG
This 482-nucleotide ribosomal RNA is filed under the name uncultured bacterium. RNAcentral describes it as "partial 16S ribosomal RNA". It matches the Rfam family "Bacterial small subunit ribosomal RNA", at positions 30 to 507 of the family's 1533-position model. The record is from RNAcentral.